AUUGAACGCUGGCGGCAGGCCUAACACAUGCAAGUCGAGCGGAUGAGAGGAGCUUGCUCCUCGAUUCAGCGGCGGACGGGUGAGUCAUGCCUAGGAAUCUGCCCAGUAGUGGGGGACAAAGACUCGAAAGGAACGCUAAUACCGCAUACGUCCUACGGGAGAACGUGGGGGAUCUUCGGACCUCACGCUAUGGGAUGAGCCUAGGUCGGAUUAGACAGUUGGUAGGGUAAAGGCCUACCAAGGCGACGAGCCGUAACUGGUCUGAGAGGAUGAUCAGUCACACUGGAACUGAGACACGGUCCAGACUCCUACGGGAGGCAGCAGUGGGGAAUAUUGGACAAUGGGCGCAAGCCUGGUCCAGCCAUGCCGCGUGUGUGAAGAAGGCCCUCGGGUCGUAAAGCACUUUAAGUUGGGAGGAAGGGCUUACAGCGAAUACCUGUGAGUUUUGACGUUACCGACAGAAUAAGCACCGGCUAACUUCGUGCCAGCCGCCGCCGUAA
Molecule: ribosomal RNA, 500 nt
Filed under: uncultured bacterium
Lineage: Bacteria
Description: partial 16S ribosomal RNA
Rfam family: Bacterial small subunit ribosomal RNA
Source: RNAcentral